Molecule: long non-coding RNA, 1378 nt
Filed under: Androctonus crassicauda
Lineage: Eukaryota; Metazoa; Arthropoda; Arachnida; Scorpiones; Buthidae
Source: RNAcentral
CUUUACCUUAUUAUAUACCUAUUAUUAAUAUACCGGUGUGUAUUAUAAGUAAUAUAAUAUACCUACUUACUUAUAUUACUUAUAAUAUACCUUAUUACUUCCUUAUAAUAUACUUUAUACCUUAUAAUAUUUAGAUAUUAUUCCGUCUAUAGUACAGUAUGGUUAAAUUGAUAUCGAAGUGCGAUGGAUCUCUCGUUCCUUUCGUCUUCCUACAUCUCCAUUCCGGUCCUGAGUAAAUCUUUAUAGGAACGCUGUCCGACGUUUUGACUUCGGUAGAUCCAACCUAUAAUAAUCACUUCUAUGGACGCGUGUAGGUAUCCACUCUGCAAUUCUACCGCGUGGUUUUUCCUCCAUUUCGGAAAUCGAUGGCCGUCUUCUCCGUGGGUAUGGAAAAUUUUUCCUGCCACGCAGUUUUGAAAUAGUCUAUAUCGAGUGGAUGAUGCGCGGUAUUAAGAGCUGGUAGCACCGGUAAAACGGAGGUACCGACCGAUGGAUGGCGAAGAUCUAACCAGUUACACCGACCGUAAUUUAGUCUUUCUAACCGAGUUAACGGCGGUAAGUCGACCUACUGACCGACAUAGGCGGUUAUUUCUCGGCUGGUCGUUUGGUCAUCGGCCCCUUUUCACCGGUUAUUUAGACCCUACUUCGGGUCAGUCAAAGAUGACGGGCGAUAGGUGACGGAGCGGAGCCAAACCAACCACCCAUGCGGGGUCGGCCGUGUUUAUGGCUCUCAAAAUACUUCUCUACUUGUUAGAAAGAUAUCCGGACCUGUCUCCGUGGUCGUUAGAUGGAAAAUGUCUGGAGACGUUAAAUAUCUGCCAUUGCGCUUUAAAUAAUGGUAAAAUUUUCCACUUAAACCCGCUAUGUACCACCACUAAAAUGCUUGGUUUUCCGCUAUUUUAAUUACGCUAGUAAUUUCCAAUUUUUUCCAGCUACGUGGAAUGAAUAUUUUUCGGCAUUUUCCGACCACUGGAUAUCGUUUACCGCCGGUAGAGUGGAAAAAUAAAGCGUUAUGGUGGCCGGACAUUCGGUCCGAUCGACUCGUGUUUCUGGCCGGCUUUCGGUUGGUUAUUCACGUAUACCGUAGACAGUUCUGUCAUUUUUAUAGUCCACGUCUUUCUUUAAUACGAUUAACCACGCUCCCCUCGAGUCUAGUCAGACCCUUAAAGCUCAUCGGCCCGAUUUUCCAUUCACUUGUAUUUUGCCGACCAGAGACCAUCCAGCCACUCACCGAGUAUUAGUACUACGCCAUCUGGCGUCGAUUUUCUUAUCCGUCAGUCGACCGUCCACUUUUUUCCCGUUAGUAAAUGCGGUGAUGGAGUAAAGACCGAAAGACGGUGUUUAAAGACCUGUAUCUAUACGAGCUGAACAAUCCGCC